RNAcentral lists this ribosomal RNA (348 nucleotides) under Sicarius levii. RNAcentral describes it as "partial 16S ribosomal RNA". The stretch from base 12 to 305 matches the Rfam family "Bacterial large subunit ribosomal RNA", at positions 2074 to 2646 of the family's 2925-position model. The record is from RNAcentral. Lineage: Eukaryota; Metazoa; Arthropoda; Arachnida; Araneae; Sicariidae.
UUUUAUGUAUUAGAAAGACAACAAGACCCUGACGAACUUAACUUAUUUAGCUGGGGCAGCUAUAAAACAAAAUCUUAACUCCCAACAAAACCUCGACCCAAUCCUACUGACCAAAGAACAAGUUACCCCAGGGAUAACAGCAUAAUCGGGCCCAAGAGACCUUAUCUAACACCCGCCAUUUAACCUCGAUGUUGAAUUAAUGUACCUCUAUUUAGCAAAAUAAAUACAAGGAGGUCUGUUCGACCUCUAACACAUUACAUGAUUUGAGUUCAGACCGGCGCAAGCCAGGUCAGCUUAUAUCUUCUUAUAAAAAAGUGCUAGUACGAAAGGACCUCACAAAAAAUCCCA